UAGGGUUUGAUCAUGGCUCAGAUUGAACGCUGGCGGCAGGCCUAAGACAUGCAAGUCGAGCGAGAAAGUACUUCGGUACGAGUACAGCGGCGGACGGGUGAGUAACGCGUAGGAAUCUACCUAGUAGUGGGGGGCAACUCGUGGAAACGCGAGCUAAUACCGCAUACGCCCUACGGGGGAAAGCGGGGGAUCUUCGGACCUCGUGCUAUUAGAUGAGCCUGCGUAAGAUUAGCUAGUUGGUGGGGUAAAGGCCUACCAAGGCGACGAUCUUUAGCUGGUCUGAGAGGAUGAUCAGCCACACCGGGACUGAGACACGGCCCGGACUCCUACGGGAGGCAGCAGUCGGGAAUAUUGCGCAAUGGGCGAAAGCCUGACGCAGCCAUGCCGCGUGUGUGAAGAAGGCCCUAGGGUUGUAAAGCACUUUCAAUUGGGAGGAAAAGCUAAUGGUUAAUAGCCAUUAGCCCUGACGUUACCUUUAGAAGAAGCACCGGCUAACUCCGUGCCAGCAGCCGCGGUAAUACGGAGGGUGCAAGCGUUAAUCGGAAUAACUGGGCGUAAAGCGCGCGUAGGCGGCUCUUUAAGUCGGAUGUGAAAGCCCCGGGCUCAACCUGGGAACUGCACCCGAUACUGGGGAGCUAGAGUGUAGGAGAGGGAGGUAGAAUUCCAUGUGUUGCAGUGAAAUGCGUAGAUAUGUGGAGGAAUACCAGUGGCGAAGGCGGCCUCCUGGCUUAACACUGACCCUGAGGUGCGAAAGCGUGGGGAGCUAACGGGAUUAGAUACCCCGGUAGUCCACGCCGUAANCGAUGUCUACUAGCUGUAGGGGUGCUUGAGACCUUUGUAGCGCA
Molecule: ribosomal RNA, 845 nt
Filed under: uncultured bacterium
Lineage: Bacteria
Description: bacterial SSU rRNA
Rfam family: Bacterial small subunit ribosomal RNA
Source: RNAcentral